Molecule: ribosomal RNA, 749 nt
Filed under: Helix pomatia (Roman snail)
Lineage: Eukaryota; Metazoa; Mollusca; Gastropoda; Stylommatophora; Helicidae
Description: partial 16S ribosomal RNA
Rfam family: Archaeal large subunit ribosomal RNA (bases 271-507)
Source: RNAcentral
UGCAUGCGUCGCAUAGCACGUAAUAAAUGUACGUUUAGGGGUGAUAGGCUUUUCAAACGUUCCUAUAACUUGUUUCAUAUGAAAAGUAUUAAGUACCUAAACAAAUUUAAAAAGUUAAGCUUUUAAAUAACUAUUAAAGAUAUUAUCCCCUUGUAGUGUAGUUUAAUAGCUAUCUACAUAAUAACUUAAUAUAAAGUAUAAUAGUUUAUAUUUUAUAAUAUGACGUUAACAAUUUUGUUUAAUAUUUGAAAAUGUUAGUAUUAGUAAUAUUAGUAUAUGUGCUAAAGGAACUCGGCAAAAAACCACUCAACUGUUUAUCAAAAACAUAGCUAUAUGCAUUAAUAUAUAGUUAUUUCUGCUCAAUGACUUAAAUAGCCGCAGUACUCUGACUGUGCAAAGGUAGCAUAAUCAGUUGGCUUUUAAUUAGAGUCUGGUAUGAACGAAAAUAUGGGUAGUAACUGUCUUAGCACAUUUUUUCGAACUUAUUAAACAAGUGCAAAUGCUUGUAAUUUAACAAUAGACGAGAAGACCCUAGAAACUUGGACAAGUUUUUGUUGGGGCGACAGAAUUACACUUAACUAAUCUUAUAAUACACGACGCGAUGUUGAAAGAAUAAGUUACUCUAGGGAUAACAGCAUAAUUUCAUUAGUUUGUGACCUCGAUGUUGGACUAGGUACUAUACCCUUAAGGCAAGGAUAUAUUAUGCUCUGUUCGAGCAAAAUUACCUACAUGAUCUGAGUUCAGACCGG